CGGCAAAAGCUCAAUUUGAAAUCGCUUCGGCGAGUUGUAAGUGAAGUGGUUAAGCUUUGAUGUAAGUUUCCUGGAACGGAACGCCAUAGAGGGUGAUAGCCCCGUUGUCUUUGCUUAAUGUGCUACUUCAGAGC
Molecule: ribosomal RNA, 134 nt
Filed under: Magnusiomyces suaveolens
Lineage: Eukaryota; Fungi; Ascomycota; Dipodascomycetes; Dipodascales; Dipodascaceae
Description: Saprochaete suaveolens partial large subunit ribosomal RNA
Source: RNAcentral